RNAcentral lists this signal recognition particle RNA (166 nucleotides) under Chlorocebus sabaeus (green monkey). RNAcentral describes it as "Metazoan signal recognition particle RNA". It matches the Rfam family "Metazoan signal recognition particle RNA". Rfam says of the family: The signal recognition particle (SRP) is a universally conserved ribonucleoprotein. It is involved in the co-translational targeting of proteins to membranes. Lineage: Eukaryota; Metazoa; Chordata; Mammalia; Primates; Cercopithecidae. The record is from Rfam by way of RNAcentral.
GCCGGGCGCGGUGGCUCACGCCUGUAAUCCCAGCACUUUGGGAGGCUGAGGUGGGUGGAUCACCUGAGGUCAGGAGUUCGAGACCAGCCUGGCCAACAUGGUGAANUUCACCAUGUUGGCCAGGCUGGUCUCGAACUCCUGACCUCAGGUGAUCCACCCACCUCAG